UGCAUCGGCCGGGAAUCGAACCCGGGCCGCCCGCGUAGCAGGCGAGCAUUCUACCACUAAGCCACCGAUGC
This 71-nucleotide transfer RNA is filed under the name Cordylochernes scorpioides. RNAcentral's name for it is "tRNA-Ser". Lineage: Eukaryota; Metazoa; Arthropoda; Arachnida; Pseudoscorpiones; Chernetidae. The record is from RNAcentral.